UGUCCUACGGGGCGCAGCAGUGAGGAAUAUUGGUCAAUGGGCGGGAGCCUGAACCAGCCAAGUCGCGUGAGGGACGACGGUCCUAUGGAUUGUAAACCUCUUUUGUCGGGGAACAAAGGCGGAGACGCGUCUCCGGAUGAGUGUACCCGAAGAAAAAGCAUCGGCUAACUCCGUGCCAGCAGCCGCGGUAAUACGGAGGAUGCGAGCGUUAUCCGGAUUUAUUGGGUUUAAAGGGUGCGCAGGCGGGAGA
RNAcentral lists this ribosomal RNA (250 nucleotides) under uncultured bacterium. RNAcentral describes it as "partial 16S ribosomal RNA". It matches the Rfam family "Bacterial small subunit ribosomal RNA", at positions 335 to 582 of the family's 1533-position model. The record is from RNAcentral.